UUUGAUCCUGGCUCAGGAUGAACGCUAGCGGCAGGCUUAACACAUGCAAGUCGAGGGGUAACAGAGGUAGCUUGCUAUUUGCUGACGACCGGCGCACGGGUGCGUAACGCGUAUAGAAUCUACCUUAUACUGGGGGAUAGCCUUUGGAAACGAAGAUUAAUACCCCAUAGUAUGUAAGAGUGGCAUCAUUUUUACAUUAAAGUUUCGGCGGUAUAAGAUGACUAUGCGUUCUAUUAGUUGGUUGGUAAGGUAACGGCUUACCAAGACUUCGAUAGAUAGGGGUCCUGAGAGGGAGAUCCCCCACACUGGUACUGAGACACGGACCAGACUCCUACGGGAGGCAGCAGUGAGGAAUAUUGGACAAUGGAGGCAACUCUGAUCCAGCCAUGCCGCGUGUAGGAAGACUGCCCUAUGGGUUGUAAACUACUUUUAUAUGGGAAGAAUAAGGUCUACGUGUAGACUGAUGACGGUACCAUAAGAAUAAGCACCGGCUAACUCCGUGCCAGCAGCCGCGGUAAUA
Molecule: ribosomal RNA, 520 nt
Filed under: uncultured bacterium
Lineage: Bacteria
Description: bacterial SSU rRNA
Rfam family: Bacterial small subunit ribosomal RNA
Source: RNAcentral